GACGUAGGGACCAAGCGUUGUUCGGAUUUACUGGGCGUAAAGGGCGCGUAGGCGGCGCGGGAAGUCACUUGUGAAAUCUCUGAGCUUAACUCAGAACGGCCAAGUGAAACUGUUGUGCUAGAGUGCAGAAGGGGCAAUCGGAAUUCUUGGUGUAGCGGUGAAAUGCGUAGAUAUCAAGAGGAACACCUGAGGUGAAGACGGGUUGCUGGGCUGACACUGACGCUGAGGCGCGAAAGCCAGGGGAGCAAACGGG
Molecule: ribosomal RNA, 253 nt
Filed under: uncultured bacterium
Lineage: Bacteria
Description: partial 16S ribosomal RNA
Rfam family: Bacterial small subunit ribosomal RNA
Source: RNAcentral